This 408-nucleotide ribosomal RNA is filed under the name Fusobacteriota bacterium. RNAcentral describes it as "Fusobacteria bacterium partial 16S ribosomal RNA". It matches the Rfam family "Bacterial small subunit ribosomal RNA", at positions 355 to 776 of the family's 1533-position model. The record is from RNAcentral. Lineage: Bacteria; Fusobacteriati; Fusobacteriota.
UGGGGAAUAUUGCACAAUGGACGGAAGUCUGAUGCAGCAACGCCGCGUGCGGGAUGACGGCCUUCGGGUUGUAAACCGCUUUUUCUCAUGACGAAGUUUUUUGACGGUAGUGGGGGAAGAAGCACCGGCUAACUACGUGCCAGCAGCCGCGGUGAUACGUAGGGUGCGAGCGUUGUCCGGAAUUAUUGGGCGUAAAGAGCUUGUAGGCGGUUUGUCGCGUCGAUAGUGCAAACUCAGUGCUUAACGCUGAGCCUGCUGUUGAUACGGGCAGACUAGAGGAAGGUAGGGGAGAAUGGAAUUCCCGGUGGAGCGGUGGAAUGCGCAGAUAUCGGGAGGAACACCGGUGGCGAAGGCGGUUCUCUGGGCCCUUCCUGACGCUGAGAAGCGAAAGCGUGGGGAGCGAACAGG